Molecule: ribosomal RNA, 465 nt
Filed under: uncultured bacterium
Lineage: Bacteria
Description: partial 16S ribosomal RNA
Rfam family: Bacterial small subunit ribosomal RNA
Source: RNAcentral
AUGAACGCUGGCGGCGUGCUUAACACAUGCAAGUCGAACGAUGAAGCCCAGCUUGCUGGGUGGAUUAGUGGCGAACGGGUGAGUAACACGUGAGUAACCUGCCCUUCACUCUGGGAUAAGCCUGGGAAACUGGGUCUAAUACCGGAUAGGAGCGUCCACCGCAUGGUGGGUGUUGGAAAGAUUUAUCGGUUUUGGAUGGACUCGCGGCCUAUCAGCUUGUUGGUGAGGUAAUGGCUCACCAAGGCGACGACGGGUAGCCGGCCUGAGAGGGUGACCGGCCACACUGGGACUGAGAGACGGCCCAGACUCCUACGGGAGGCAGCAGUGGGGAAUAUUGCACAAUGGGCGCAAGCCUGAUGCAGCGACGCCGCGUGAGGGAUGACGGCCUUCGGGUUGUAAACCUCUUUCAGUAGGGAAGAAGCGAAAGUGACGGUACCUGCAGAAGAAGCACCGGCUAACUACGUG